ACCAUGCAGUCGAGCGGUAAGGCCUUUCGGGGUACACGAGCGGCGAACGGGUGAGUAACACGUGGGUGAUCUGCCCUGCACUUCGGGAUAAGCCUGGGAAACUGGGUCUAAUACCGGAUAUGACCUCAGGUUGCAUGACUUGGGGUGGAAAGAUUUAUCGGUGCAGGAUGGGCCCGCGGCCUAUCAGCUUGUUGGUGGGGUAAUGGCCUACCAAGGCGACGACGGGUAGCCGACCUGAGAGGGUGACCGGCCACACUGGGACUGAGACACGGCCCAAACUCCUACGGGAGGCAGCAGUGGGGAAUAUUGCAC
This 312-nucleotide ribosomal RNA is filed under the name Rhodococcus erythropolis. Its description in RNAcentral is "bacterial SSU rRNA". It matches the Rfam family "Bacterial small subunit ribosomal RNA", at positions 53 to 369 of the family's 1533-position model. The record is from RNAcentral. Lineage: Bacteria; Bacillati; Actinomycetota; Actinomycetes; Mycobacteriales; Nocardiaceae.